GGGAUCGUACUGCGGGCCUUCCGGCAGCGGGCCUUCCCAUGGGCCGACUCCGUGCCGUCCUUCGUUCCAUUCGGUAGGGCCCUU
Molecule: transfer RNA, 84 nt
Filed under: Corynebacterium striatum
Lineage: Bacteria; Bacillati; Actinomycetota; Actinomycetes; Mycobacteriales; Corynebacteriaceae
Description: tRNA-Gly
Source: RNAcentral